Molecule: ribosomal RNA, 2900 nt
Filed under: Klebsiella pneumoniae
Lineage: Bacteria; Pseudomonadati; Pseudomonadota; Gammaproteobacteria; Enterobacterales; Enterobacteriaceae
Description: bacterial LSU rRNA
Rfam family: Bacterial large subunit ribosomal RNA
Source: RNAcentral
UUAAGCGACUAAGCGUACACGGUGGAUGCCCUGGCAGUCAGAGGCGAUGAAGGACGUGCUAAUCUGCGAAAAGCGUCGGUAAGGUGAUAUGAACCGUUAUAACCGGCGAUGUCCGAAUGGGGAAACCCAGUGCAAUUCGUUGCACUAUCGUUAACUGAAUACAUAGGUUAACGAGGCGAACCGGGGGAACUGAAACAUCUAAGUACCCCGAGGAAAAGAAAUCAACCGAGAUUCCCCCAGUAGCGGCGAGCGAACGGGGAGCAGCCCAGAGUCUGAAUCAGCUUGUGUGUUAGUGGAACGGUCUGGAAAGUCCGACGGUACAGGGUGAUAGUCCCGUACACCAAAAUGCACAGGCUGUGAACUCGAAGAGUAGGGCGGGACACGUGGUAUCCUGUCUGAAUAUGGGGGGACCAUCCUCCAAGGCUAAAUACUCCUGACUGACCGAUAGUGAACCAGUACCGUGAGGGAAAGGCGAAAAGAACCCCGGCGAGGGGAGUGAAAAAGAACCUGAAACCGUGUACGUACAAGCAGUGGGAGCACCUUCGGGUGUGACUGCGUACCUUUUGUAUAAUGGGUCAGCGACUUAUAUUCUGUAGCAAGGUUAACCGUAUAGGGGAGCCGCAGGGAAACCGAGUCUUAACUGGGCGUUAAGUUGCAGGGUAUAGACCCGAAACCCGGUGAUCUAGCCAUGGGCAGGUUGAAGGUUGGGUAACACUAACUGGAGGACCGAACCGACUAAUGUUGAAAAAUUAGCGGAUGACUUGUGGCUGGGGGUGAAAGGCCAAUCAAACCGGGAGAUAGCUGGUUCUCCCCGAAAGCUAUUUAGGUAGCGCCUCGUGAAUUCAUCUUCGGGGGUAGAGCACUGUUUCGGCUAGGGGGUCAUCCCGACUUACCAACCCGAUGCAAACUACGAAUACCGAAGAAUGUUAUCACGGGAGACACACGGCGGGUGCUAACGUCCGUCGUGAAGAGGGAAACAACCCAGACCGCCAGCUAAGGUCCCAAAGUCAUGGUUAAGUGGGAAACGAUGUGGGAAGGCACAGACAGCCAGGAUGUUGGCUUAGAAGCAGCCAUCAUUUAAAGAAAGCGUAAUAGCUCACUGGUCGAGUCGGCCUGCGCGGAAGAUGUAACGGGGCUAAACCAUGCACCGAAGCUGCGGCAGCGACACUAUGUGUUGUUGGGUAGGGGAGCGUUCUGUAAGCCUGCGAAGGUGACCUGUGAGGGUUGCUGGAGGUAUCAGAAGUGCGAAUGCUGACAUAAGUAACGAUAAAGCGGGUGAAAAGCCCGCUCGCCGGAAGACCAAGGGUUCCUGUCCAACGUUAAUCGGGGCAGGGUGAGUCGACCCCUAAGGCGAGGCCGAAAGGCGUAGUCGAUGGGAAACAGGUUAAUAUUCCUGUACUUGGUGUUACUGCGAAGGGGGGACGGAGAAGGCUAUGUUAGCCGGGCGACGGUUGUCCCGGUUUAAGCAUGUAGGCUGGUUAUCCAGGCAAAUCCGGAUAAUCAAGGCUGAGGUGUGAUGACGAGGCACUACGGUGCUGAAGUAACAAAUGCCCUGCUUCCAGGAAAAGCCUCUAAGCAUCAGGUAACAUCAAAUCGUACCCCAAACCGACACAGGUGGUCAGGUAGAGAAUACCAAGGCGCUUGAGAGAACUCGGGUGAAGGAACUAGGCAAAAUGGUGCCGUAACUUCGGGAGAAGGCACGCUGGUGUGUAGGUGAAGCCCCUGCGGGUGGAGCUGAGACCAGUCGAAGAUACCAGCUGGCUGCAACUGUUUAUUAAAAACACAGCACUGUGCAAACACGAAAGUGGACGUAUACGGUGUGACGCCUGCCCGGUGCCGGAAGGUUAAUUGAUGGGGUUAUCCGUAAGGAGAAGCUCUUGAUCGAAGCCCCGGUAAACGGCGGCCGUAACUAUAACGGUCCUAAGGUAGCGAAAUUCCUUGUCGGGUAAGUUCCGACCUGCACGAAUGGCGUAAUGAUGGCCAGGCUGUCUCCACCCGAGACUCAGUGAAAUUGAACUCGCUGUGAAGAUGCAGUGUACCCGCGGCAAGACGGAAAGACCCCGUGAACCUUUACUAUAGCUUGACACUGAACAUUGAGCCUUGAUGUGUAGGAUAGGUGGGAGGCUUUGAAGCGUGGACGCCAGUCUGCGUGGAGCCAACCUUGAAAUACCACCCUUUAAUGUUUGAUGUUCUAACGUUGGCCCCUGACCGGGGUUGCGGACAGUGUCUGGUGGGUAGUUUGACUGGGGCGGUCUCCUCCCAAAGCGUAACGGAGGAGCACGAAGGUUAGCUAAUCCUGGUCGGACAUCAGGAGGUUAGUGCAAUGGCAUAAGCUAGCUUGACUGCGAGCGUGACGGCGCGAGCAGGUGCGAAAGCAGGUCAUAGUGAUCCGGUGGUUCUGAAUGGAAGGGCCAUCGCUCAACGGAUAAAAGGUACUCCGGGGAUAACAGGCUGAUACCGCCCAAGAGUUCAUAUCGACGGCGGUGUUUGGCACCUCGAUGUCGGCUCAUCACAUCCUGGGGCUGAAGUAGGUCCCAAGGGUAUGGCUGUUCGCCAUUUAAAGUGGUACGCGAGCUGGGUUUAGAACGUCGUGAGACAGUUCGGUCCCUAUCUGCCGUGGGCGCUGGAGAAUUGAGGGGGGCUGCUCCUAGUACGAGAGGACCGGAGUGGACGCAUCACUGGUGUUCGGGUUGUCAUGCCAAUGGCACUGCCCGGUAGCUAAAUGCGGAAGAGAUAAGUGCUGAAAGCAUCUAAGCACGAAACUUGCCCCGAGAUGAGUUCUCCCUGAGACUUUAAGUCUCCUGAAGGAACGUUGAAGACGAUGACGUUGAUAGGCCGGGUGUGUAAGCGCAGCGAUGCGUUGAGCUAACCGGUACUAAUGAACCGUGAGGCUUAACCUU